Long non-coding RNA from Myotis daubentonii (Daubenton's bat), 1121 nucleotides. RefSeq lists it as uncharacterized. The transcript has 2 exons. NCBI's taxonomy places the organism in Eukaryota, Metazoa, Chordata, Mammalia, Chiroptera, Vespertilionidae. The record is from RefSeq and is a predicted model, not a curated record.
AGUAAGAAAUUUCAGUUUCUGUUUGAAAACCCUUUGUUUUUUUAAGCUACAUCAGUGGUCAUAUAUGGUUCAGUAAUUUUGGAAAGGAAAACAAAAUAGGACUAUACUCUUUGCAAGCCCUUUCUUGAUCGGUUUCUGUUUACCCCUACAAAGUUAUCCCUCUGCUGACACACUAUAUUCCGGCCAUACUGAAUGUUUCAGUUUCCCAAACUCACCACCUUAUCAACUCCUGCUGGAAGACCCUUCUUCCUUCUCACUUUGCCUGGUUUUCUCCAAAUCCUCUUUCAUGUAUCUGCUCAGAUACCGCUGCCUUCCAGAAGCUUGUCCAGACCGUGUGAGUGCCCAGCUCUGUGUUCCCACAAGUACUAACAUUGCCCUGUUGGUGACUGUCUGCCUUAAGCCUGUGAGUUGUACCAGGGCGUGAGCUCCUUGAGGGUGAGGGCAGUGUUCCCAUUCCUGUUGACUCACUGCCUAGGUUUGUGACCAGCUCUCCCCCUUCUAAGUUGCUUAACUUGCUAAGUUACUUAUUGCUUUACCGCUGUGUCUCAGGUCAUUAUUUGUUCAAUGAGUGUAAUUAUGUCUUCCUUAUAGAUAAAAUCAGUUAAUCUAAAACAUGGAGAUCAGAGUCCGACACAUGGUAAAUCUCAGUGUUAGUUCUUGUUCUGACCAGUGUCUAGCAGUGAGCUUGUGUUCUGUGCUGGCAAUAACUCUCAGCUGACUGAGUAAAUGGCAUUCCUGUAGAAGAACUGUAUCUUAUCAGUGUUGUAGAUUAGUUCAAGCAGUUAGUAUUCACAAAGACAUGACCAAUAGUAGACAACAAGAAUAGCAAUGUCAGGUUAUGUCUCUAUAAUUCUGUUACCGUGUCAAUGUAUAUCAGCAUGCACAGAAAUAUCUUCUCUAGAGAAUGAAAUGGUUAAAGAAAUACUGCAAAAAUGGGACUUAUAGGGAAGACAUAUUGUUUAAGGAGACAGUGCAAAGGGCAGCCGAUGGGGAUGGGAGAGGGAAAUGUCUGGCUUAGCAGGAUGAGGGGGAAAGAAUAGUACAGAUGGCUGCUGUCAAAGAUGAUGGACAGGGCAUAGGGCAUUUGCAAGGAAGAUGUUGCAGAAAUUAAAAAAGAAAAA